UACGUAGGGUGCAAGCGUUAAUCGGAAUUACUGGGCGUAAAGCGUACGCAGGCGGCUUUGCAAGACAGGUGUGAAAUCCCCGGGCCUAACCUGGGAACUGCAUUUGUGACUGCAUGGCUAGAGUCUGUCAGAGGGGGGUGGAAUUCCACGUGUAGCAGUGAAAUGCGUAGAUAUGUGGAGGAAUACCGAUGGCGAAGGCAGCCCCCUGGGAUAACACUGACGCUCAUGCACGAAAGCGUGGGGAGCAAACAGG
RNAcentral lists this ribosomal RNA (253 nucleotides) under uncultured bacterium. Its description in RNAcentral is "partial 16S ribosomal RNA". It matches the Rfam family "Bacterial small subunit ribosomal RNA", at positions 524 to 776 of the family's 1533-position model. The record is from RNAcentral.